This 198-nucleotide ribosomal RNA is filed under the name Achromobacter sp. HZ34. RNAcentral describes it as "partial 16S ribosomal RNA". It matches the Rfam family "Bacterial small subunit ribosomal RNA", at positions 1 to 191 of the family's 1533-position model. Lineage: Bacteria; Pseudomonadati; Pseudomonadota; Betaproteobacteria; Burkholderiales; Alcaligenaceae. The record is from RNAcentral.
AGAGAUUGAACUGAAGAGUUUGAUCCUGGCUCAGAUUGAACGCUAGCGGGAUGCCUUACACAUGCAAGUCGAACGGCAACACGGACUUCGGUCUGGUGGCGAGUGGCGAACGGGUGAGUAAUGUAUCGGAACGUGCCCAGUAGCGGGGGAUAACUACGCGAAAGCGUAGCUAAUACCGCAUACGCCCUACGGGGGAAA